GGGCGGAUAGCUCAGCGGGAGAGCAUCGGCCUUACAAGCCGAGGGUCGCAGGUUCAAAUCCUGUUCCGCCUACCA
Molecule: transfer RNA, 75 nt
Filed under: Desulfatiglans anilini
Lineage: Bacteria; Pseudomonadati; Thermodesulfobacteriota; Desulfobacteria; Desulfatiglandales; Desulfatiglandaceae
Also listed under: 3 other names
Rfam family: tRNA
About the family: Transfer RNA (tRNA) molecules are approximately 80 nucleotides in length. Their secondary structure includes four short double-helical elements and three loops (D, anti-codon, and T loops). Further hydrogen bonds mediate the characteristic L-shaped molecular structure. tRNAs have two regions of fundamental functional importance: the anti-codon, which is responsible for specific mRNA codon recognition, and the 3' end, to which the tRNAs corresponding amino acid is attached (by aminoacyl-tRNA synthetases). tRNAs cope with the degeneracy of the genetic code in two manners: having more than one tRNA (with a specific anti-codon) for a particular amino acid; and 'wobble' base-pairing, i.e. permitting non-standard base-pairing at the 3rd anti-codon position.
Source: RNAcentral